This 1412-nucleotide long non-coding RNA is filed under the name Olea europaea subsp. europaea. Lineage: Eukaryota; Viridiplantae; Streptophyta; Magnoliopsida; Lamiales; Oleaceae. The record is from RNAcentral.
CUGAAAGAGGGAUCUAUAUAACAAUUUUAUGUAUCUUAUCCCCCCCCCCCAACUCCAUUGUAUAAUGAAACUGUGUUUAUCUAGGGUAUGUUCCACUGAACUUCUAGAAAAUGGAAUGAAAGGCAAUGAUGCAGAGUGAGAAAACACAUAUAGCACAUAUUUUUUUGUAAAAUGUUUAUGCCCUCGUAUAUGAAAUAAUAAAUAUUACUACGGGGUAUAACAAGAUAUUAUCAUGCUUCUAUUCUCUCUGUUAUUGCGUAUACGAAGAAAGUGACAACAUAAACCCAAAAACAAAGCAGGUAGAACAAGAAACUCACUCCCAUGGGACAUCUACAACAAACAUACAGUUACCAAAUCAAAAAGCAUUUCUCGCCUUCCCUCAUGUGUUACACCUUCUAAUUAAGAUUUCGCAACAAUUGUAAGAAUUGAUGAAGUCUAAAGGAACAAAAAAAAAUUCCAACAAUACUUACAAAUUUAUCUCCGAAGGUAGAAUUCAUUGUGAAUUUGAGCUAUCUUCAAACAGAAUUGAUACAAUGCUUUGUUCAUGUAAACCUAAAGUAAAACCCAAUAAUCAAUCGAAAGAAUUAAAAAAAAAAACAAUGAUUAAUUCAAGAAACCAAACAACUGAAACACCAGAUUCGAAGAAACGGAAACAAAUGUUUCAUAAAAUUUAAUGAACAUAUACCUACAUAGAAAUAAGAGAAAUUAGACAAAGAGAGGAGAAAUUUUAAAAAAUUCUACUCUAUUGAGAAAGAAUCGAGAGCCCCAAGCACUAAGCAGAAGGGACCUUUUGGGGUGUUAUGUAAAACUCUAUGCAGCUGGCAUUUACUGUAAAGUAAAGGGAAAAUGUAAAGUAAAGGAAAAAUGUAAGAUGUUAAUUCUAAAAUAACAGAUAAAGUUUUCCAUGUAAAAGUCAAAGAGAUAAAGGAAUGUUAUUGGAUGAUAGGGGAAAGAAUACACCUGAAACAAAACCAGAAUAUCAAUAGAAGAAAUUGAGAAAAACAAUGAUUAAUUCAAGAAAUACAUGACUAUAUGGAUUGCAUGGGAUUAGAAAUUUUACAUUUAAAGAAUAAGGUGAUCCAUUGUAAGGAUUUAGAUGCAAAGACAUUGUUUGCAUUCAUGAAGGGUAUGACCAGGUCCACCGGGCCUAUAGGAAAUGUUUGGGUUAUUGGGGCUCGGAAUGCAGAGGAGUCGACACUAAUCAAAUGCAUUUAAGAAGAAAGAAAGGGUAAAGGUCAUAAAACUUACAGAAUCCACCAUUUGUCGAACAACACUCGAUAUUUUGAGAAUUGGAAGAAUAUUGUCUGCUAAGGCAAAAAUAUAUAACACUCAAGGCCUCCUAUAUUUGUAUUUAAUGUCUAUGAGAUUGAACGAGGAGCACAUAACAAUUGAGAUAUAGAAAGAGCCACAAC